RNAcentral lists this transfer RNA (77 nucleotides) under Cytophagales bacterium CG12_big_fil_rev_8_21_14_0_65_40_12. RNAcentral describes it as "tRNA-Arg". It matches the Rfam family "tRNA". Rfam says of the family: Transfer RNA (tRNA) molecules are approximately 80 nucleotides in length. Their secondary structure includes four short double-helical elements and three loops (D, anti-codon, and T loops). The record is from RNAcentral. Lineage: Bacteria; Pseudomonadati; Bacteroidota; Cytophagia; Cytophagales. RNAcentral also lists the same sequence under 1 other name.
GGCCUCGUAGCAUAAUUGAAUAGUGCACCUGAUUACGGCUCAGGAGGUUGCAGGUUUGAAUCCUGCCGAGGUCACCU